CCUCUCCUCUCCUCUCUUUCCUUCCCUGCCCCCUUACCUUUAAUCUCGUAUUAGUGCUCUCUCUCUGCCAGCCAACCGGCCGCGGCAGCGCUCUUGCUCACAAUUCUUCGGCUAAUCGUCAGGUAAUGACUCUCUCCCCAUCACUCGGGCACUAACUCUCUCUACCACUCUUUCUCCCUCUCUCUCCCCCCUAGCCCCCAAUGAGCCUUUGCUGUGCAAAUUUGCUGACGGAGGGCAGAAGAAGCGCCAGAGCCAGAGCAAGUAUCCCCAGAACGGACGGCCGUGGCACCGGGACGGCGAGACCGGCAUGGCGCUGACCUAUGACCCCGCUGCCAUGCAGAAUGGGUUCUACUCCUCGCCUUACAGCAUCGCCACCAACCGCAUGAUCGCACAGACGUCCAUCACGCCCUUCAUCGCUGCCUCGCCUGUCUCCACAUAUCAGGUGCGUUGGCCACACACACACACACACACACAAACACACACACACACACACACA
Molecule: long non-coding RNA, 496 nt
Organism: Gadus macrocephalus (Pacific cod)
Lineage: Eukaryota; Metazoa; Chordata; Actinopteri; Gadiformes; Gadidae
Exons: 3
Source: RefSeq, a predicted model, not a curated record